CGCCGCGUGAGUGAUGAAGGUUUUCGGAUCGUAAAGCUCUGUUGUUAGGGAAGAACAAGUGCCGUUCAAAUAGGGCGGCACCUUGACGGUACCUAACCAGAAAGCCACGGCUAACUACGUGCCAGCAGCCGCGGUAAUACGUAGGUGGCAAGCGUUGUCCGGAAUUAUUGGGCGUAAAGGGCUCGCAGGCGGUUUCUUAAGUCUGAUGUGAAAGCCCCCGGCUCAACCGGGGAGGGUCAUUGGAAACUGGGGAACUUGAGUGCAGAAAAGGAGAGUGGAAUUCCACGUGUAGCGGUGAAAUGCGUAAAGAUGUGGAGGAACACCAGUGGCGAAGGCGACUCUCUGGUCUGUAACUGACGCUGAGGAGCGAAAGCGUGGGGAGCGAACAGGAUUAGAUACCCUGGUAGUCCACGCCGUAAACGAUGAGUGCUAAGUGUUAGGGGGUUUCCGCCCCUUAGUGCUGCAGCUAACGCAUUAAGCACUCCGC
This 487-nucleotide ribosomal RNA is filed under the name Bacillus subtilis. Its description in RNAcentral is "bacterial SSU rRNA". It matches the Rfam family "Bacterial small subunit ribosomal RNA", at positions 395 to 872 of the family's 1533-position model. Lineage: Bacteria; Bacillati; Bacillota; Bacilli; Caryophanales; Bacillaceae. The record is from RNAcentral.